Non-coding RNA from Paramisgurnus dabryanus, 1257 nucleotides. The record is from RefSeq and is a predicted model, not a curated record. NCBI's taxonomy places the organism in Eukaryota, Metazoa, Chordata, Actinopteri, Cypriniformes, Cobitidae.
UUAUAUAUCUACAAGUGUGUUUACUAAAUACAUGUAUUAUUAUGCUAAUGUAAUUUAAUUGAUAAAGGUUUUUUUUAUUUAAGAAAAUCUGAGCAUCACUCAAAAUAACUGUCAACAUGUUUGUCAACUAAACAUGUUUUGUAAACGUUAUACAUUUUAUAAAAAUAUUUAAUAUUUUUAUUAUUGAUAAAGUAUAAAGAACAAAUCAGUGUGAAAACGCAGAUUAUAAAAAGUACAUAAAGUGCCAGCAGAGGAUCCAAAAUAAUGAAAAAAAAAAAAAACAUCCAAUGCAACUUGGAAAUUGUAGUCAAAAUACAUCUACAGCAGCAUGCUAAAGCAGUACCAACGCCAGGGCAAAAGACUCAAAUUCCCAGAAUGCACCUGCACCCACCCAUUCAUUCCCACCAAUCAGGAUCAACGGCAUUUUUCAAACCGCUACUGACUCGUUUUCAUGCUAAACAGUACGGCUGAGGUAAGUUUGACUUUCAUUCCUUUACAUCGCGCAGAUCUGUUCCAUAUUUGUUCCUAUUUUGUUCUUCACUGUGAUUAUUUUUGUCUUUAUGCGAGAAGUGUUUUAAUUUAAAGCACACACAGGAAACAUUAAGAGUAAGUUAUACACUGUACACAGUAACGUUAGGAACUUGAACAUGCGGUUUUUCAGUGAGCAAAGUAACAUGCAAAAUGCCUGAUAAACGAAUCAAUUCGAUGUUUAAAACUUUAAAAAUAAAACGGCAAGAUUACUUGUGUUGGAGAUGUUCAGCUAACUGUAGCAAAUGGCUCUUUCUGCUAUUUUAAACGAUAACCUUAGACGAUUUCUGUUGUUUAAAAGCUCAUUGCUGUAGAGGUCAUGUACCAUGUGGUCGACCUUGCUGACGCUGAAGAGGUUUCUGUGUAAAAAUGAUGACAUUGAGACAAACAGACCAGUUCUGGCUGCCGUGGAGGUCAACACACCACUGAUCUACUGGCUGCCCUUCAACGUGAUGCCCAGCCGAUGCCUGACCACCGACGGAACUAGGGCUGCACGAUAAGUCGCAUGUGUUUGUCAGGCGCAUCUCCUCAGUAAUGCCGGUUCCUUGAUUAGUAUUAAAUCGCCAUCAGCUGUUUUCAGAUGUAGCAGCUUUAACUACACAGAGCCGUAGUUCACUGACAAUCGGGGCAAUUUCGCAUUAAUUAUCGCGGACGUAUCGGCUGCGAUAUGUAUGCGAUAUGGCCCAGCUUGUCAGGGAACUACGGCUCUGUAGUUAAAGCUGCUCCAUC